CCUACGGGAGGCAGCAGUGAGGAAUAUUGGACAAUGGGCGCAAGCCUGAUCCAGCCAUGCCGCGUGCAGGAUGACGGUCCUAUGGAUUGUAAACUGCUUUUAUACGAGAAGAAACACCCCUACGUGUAGGGACUUGACGGUAUCGUAAGAAUAAGGAUCGGCUAACUCCGUGCCAGCAGCCGCGGUAAUACGGAGGAUCCAAGCGUUAUCCGGAAUCAUUGGGUUUAAAGGGUCCGUAGGCGGUUUAGUAAGUCAGUGGUGAAAUCUCCCCGCUCAACGGGGAAACGGCCAUUGAUACUGCUAGACUUGAAUUAUUAGGAAGUAACUAGAAUAUGUAGUGUAGCGGUGAAAUGCUUAGAGAUUACAUGGAAUACCAAUUGCGAAGGCAGGUUACUACUAAUGGAUUGACGCUGAUGGACGAAAGCGUGGGUAGCGAACAGGAUUAGAUACCCUGGUAGUCCACGCCGUAAACGAUGGAUACUAGCUGUUGGGUGCAAACUCAGUGGCUAAGCGAAAGUGAUAAGUAUCCACCUGGGGAGUACGUUCGCAAGAAUGAAACCUCAAAGAGUAUCGCGNGNGAGAGCGACGACGACGACGACGGAGGAGG
Molecule: ribosomal RNA, 607 nt
Filed under: uncultured bacterium
Lineage: Bacteria
Description: bacterial SSU rRNA
Rfam family: Bacterial small subunit ribosomal RNA
Source: RNAcentral